Molecule: long non-coding RNA, 497 nt
Organism: Gasterosteus aculeatus aculeatus (three-spined stickleback)
Lineage: Eukaryota; Metazoa; Chordata; Actinopteri; Perciformes; Gasterosteidae
Source: Ensembl
GUCGUCGCGCCCACGCGAGUUCGAUAUUUUGCCGUGUACCCGUUCGGACCCAUUUUCUACAUCAGACGCAAGCAGCUGGUUCUCCCCAGCGUCCUUCCAUCUGUUCAAUCCGUCAUCUCAACAUCCGUCUUCCCUUUGUUCCUCGGACGCUCGCGCGCGCCGCGCCAAUCCCGGCGCUCGCCGUUCCCAAAUUGUGACAUCCGUCAAAGGGAGUUUUGUCAAGAGAAAGUAACUUUUCACCAUGUGCACUCACAGGCACCCGCUUGACCUACAUGCAGUGUUCCGUGUCGAGAGGGACGUCGGUGUAACGACUGUUAACGGCGUGCGGCGAUUUCAGACGUCACUUUCUCCUGCAAGCCGGAAGGUCCUGAUGGAUUAGGUGGCCCCGGGCCGGCAGCUCCGCACCUUUUAGCAAUCUGUGCCAAAACUACCGCCUCAGCAGACUGGUGUUGUGGACUUAGAGCCGGCAGGAGGCUGCUAGCUGUGGUCAUUUCUUC